UCCGGUUUGUCACCGGCAGUCUCCCUAGAGUUCCCACCAUGACGUGCUGGCAACUAGGGACAAGGGUUGCGCUCGUUACGGGACUUAACCCAACAUCUCACGACACGAGCUGACGACAGCCAUGCAGCACCUGUCACUCGGUUCCCGAAGGCACCAAUCCAUCUCUGGAAAGUUCCGAGCAUGUCAAGCCCUGGUAAGGUUCUUCGCGUUGCGUCGAAUUGAGCCACAUGCUCCGCCGCUUGUGCGGGUCCCCGUCAAUUCCUUUGAGUUUUAGCCUUGCGGCCGUACUCCCCAGGCGGGGCGCUUAAUGCGUUAGCUACGGCACGGAUUCCGUGGAAGGAACCCACACCUAGCGCCCACCGUUUACGGCGUGGACUAC
This 379-nucleotide unclassified non-coding RNA is filed under the name uncultured bacterium. RNAcentral's name for it is "contains 16S-23S intergenic spacer region". The record is from RNAcentral.